ACUGGGAGCUGCUUUUAAGCAAUUGAGUUCAGAUCUCGCCGAUGUCGUGCAUGCUGGGUCUGCGCCGUUGCCCUUGUCUUUGAAGUCCAUUGCAUUUGUGAUUUUUCUUUGAUCGUUGCUGUAGAAGUGACUGAAAUGUUUUUCUGGUAGGUUUGCACGCACGCAGGCGUGAGAGGGCUGAGAACUUCGGUAAAGGCGGAGCAUCCUGUGGUGCGCCAGCUCACAAACCCCACUCGUGAUCGGCCCUGGAAAGAACACGAGAGGAUGGAGAUGAGGAAAACCAGGCGGGUCUGGAAGGAAGAAACGUCCGUGUGAGGUGCGCAGUGAGGACGGACACCACGGAGGCUCUUGGAAUGUGUACAUGAGAAAUUAGUGACCACAUGGUUUCAUUCACUGAAACAGCCGAUUGCAAAAUUAGACAAAUACUUUGACUUUGCCCCCGGCUUUCGCGGCUGCUGCACCUCUGAAGGCUCCGCUCACCUCUAAUUACACGUCCGCUGAAAUCAUGCAGAGAAGGACCAGUGUAAGUCAUUAGCCGUCCUAAAUGAAUGUGCAGCUGACUCGCUAACAACGGGAUUAACACUUGACAGGGAAAGCGGUGCACGCUGAGGAGAGGGUCAUCGGGUGACUGCCUGUUACACAGAAAUAAUUGCCACGCGAUGCUGAGAGAAGCUGCUGUCUGCAGGCUGUGUUUGCUGCGCGGGGAUGUGUCCUCUGUCACCUCUUACCCGCUGCACGGCACAGGAGGUGAGCCUGGGCAGCGGGCACCCGUGCGGACCGGGGAGCGUGAAAACAGGUUCUGGAAAUACAAGGCGAUCUCCAGCCCAGGGAUGUUCAAUCGGAACCUCCCACCUACUAAACAGAGCCCAAACGUUUUAAAAAUGCCUCUUUGCUUGAUCUUCCACUGCCGUAAUAUUGUGCGUGGCUUGACACAAAUGGUUGGUUUGGGGUUGUUUUAAUUUUUUAAAGAUAUUUAAUGAAGACAAUAGUAGGCAUAGUAAAAAUAUUCGUCUUCUUCCCCUACCUGCCAUUUUCUUAUUUAAAUGCACUUCAUGAUUCCAUGAAAUAUCCACACUACAAUGAGCCUUUCCUAGAUUAAACUGUCUCCAGAUAGAGUCUUCUCUAACUAGUAUUUUACCUUUUUGAGAAUACAGUUCCUAUUCAUAGAGUGUAACAGAUCUGUUAAUUCUGUGGCCACGAAGAGAAAGUACCUGUGGAGGACUUAAAAAUGCAAUGACAGUUAGAAGAUGUGCUACAAGGCUGAGCGAGGGGAUUGUGGUCACCGCUGUCACCAUGGUGCUGUUGAUGAAUUACUCAACUGUGCUUGCUGAAAAUAUGCCACUACAUUAGCAUAAUGUCAUGUGGAAUAUCCUGUUCAGCAGCGAGAGUGAUCUUACAGUUAGGAAAGAUUUUGGGUAGGACUUCCUGCUAGAAUAAAUGCUCAUCACUCUAUUGAAGUCACUGCAGCUGUUACGAUUCAGAUGGAGCAGACAAGGACUGAAAUGAUGGCAGAGCAUUCAGCGCGCACUUGGGGUCGAGCAGAAAGUGGCUCCAGGUUGGAAUUGUGAGCAGGGAUGCAUUUUUCUUUAGUGCUCUCUUGCAGUGCAGAACUUGUGUAUCAACUGCAAUAAUUCUCAGCCAGGAUCACAGGGGAUUUCCAGGUAAGCAGAGUCUGGAACUGGCUUUUAUUUGGUUUAUUGUUUUAAACUUGCCAACAAUACGUGAUGGAACACUUCUUGGCCUAUUUUGGAAGAACUGUACCGUUUCAUAGCAAGUUAGCUCGGUCAAAGAAAUCUAACUGGACUAAACAUAGAUACACUUUGACAUCUUUAGCCCAAUUUAAAGAGAGGGGAAUUUUGGGCAGACAUUUUAAGUUAUCCAGUCAGCCACUGAGCUGAUGAUACAAUAACAACACACAACUAAGGCUGAGGGAAGACACAACAGCAGUGGGGUGGUAUUGUACAAUGUGAAAAGGAUGUUCAUAUCCAAACAUCACAUGCACAGCUGAGCAUGAAUUCACAUUAGAUCAACUUGAGCUUCAACCAUAUAUUUAUUAGAUAUGGGUGGAAACAAGUAUUUUUCAGUAGCGGAGUACUAAUAUGGCAAAGGUUUUCAUCUGAUGAAAUGCAUGACUUCUAAAAACCUGCAUAUGGCUAGCAUUUCCAAAGGCUUGUUGAACCGUAGCAUCUGAAAACAAGCGAUGAUACUUAGUCAUCUCUGUUAUUAUUAAUGUCUUUUUUGACCUUGUCUUUUUCUGUACCUAUAACAGCCAGUCAGGUUUGCCAGGGCAUGCCCUGUACAGAUUUUCAUGAGUGAAGCUAAAGACACAAAUCCACAUUUUGUCCUACUGGCACUGAAACGUUUGAGCGCGGUGCACGAGUGGAGCGGGUGAGGUGAGCGCAGCGUUGAUAGUCCCACACUCAGCCUCAGCCUCCUCGGUGCACGUCCCCGCCAGCCCAGCUCAACCCAUCGUUGGGCUCUUGCGCCGAGUGCAGCGGAGGGAUCUGUGCUACUCAUGAGCAAAAAGGCCACAGAAAAAAACAAUGACGGGAAGGAAGUUUACGGCUGAGCCAAUGGACAUCCCACAGAUCGUCUUCCAUUCACCGCGGAGUACUGCUUCCCUGGGUCUGAUGAACUGACAUCUGGUUCGUGUAUUUGCCUGAUUAUUUAGUUCUCUGCAUCACUUUGAGCAAUGUAAUCUCUGUAAUUGGUACGCAGAAGUUUUUUGAGUAUGGUUAAAAGAGCAGAUUCUGUGUCGAGGUCCCAUCACGGUUGUUUUUGCUAUCGGCUUCAGAAAUCAUGCAAAAGAAGUCUAAUUUUGUGUUUAUUCAUUUACAGAGGUACCGUAUUUGGAGCCCUGGAAACAGUAUUUAGGUCUGCAUGCGAAGGAAAUAAAAUGCCCUAAUUAAUUUUCUGCAUCGUUGAAACGGAGGUUCAGUGGAACGCAGCGGGCAGAGAUUGCAGCCGUCAGAGAACCAUCCCGAACCAACCCUCCAGCGGACGGGGAGCAAAAGGAAAAAAAAUGACAGUGUCAUUUGGUCUGCAGUAUGUGCCGGAACUCCUCCAUUCACAUUUGUGAAUGCCAGGUGGUGGUGGUGAUGUUCUGGAGGGUGAGUUACUGUUGUUUCAGCUACUGGGGCUCCAAAAACCCCAACGUUCUGCUUUCCCUGAAUGAUAGUUCUUUCUAUAGACUCUGAGGCUACGGCAAAGGAACUGAGUCACAAUAAAUAGGAAACAGAACACGUGUGAAUCUUACCUAAUAAAUAAGGUAAAAUAUACAUACCACUGCAAGUGAAAGAUUUAUAUCAUCUGGUUUCUGUGUGUUUCAAUCUGUACAUGACCAAAGCUGCUUUCAUUAUUAGUGUAUUGAGUUCUGUGUACCACUGGAUUACAUGAAGUACUAUUUGCACCCAUUUUAUCUCUAGUACCUCUAUUACAUUGAUUCAGACAUGAGGUAAGAGAGACUUGUACUAAAUGAAUGCAGUUCAUUAUUUAGCUGUAUCUGGCAAACUGAAUAAAGGGAGGGGGGGGUGGUUUUGGCACCUGACCUGCUUUGGUGUCUUUUGCCUGCAGAGUGCUCGUCGUGAGAGAGAACAGUUUGCUACAGGAGCAGCAGCCUCCCGAACACCCGCGGGGACUCACGCAUGGCCGCGUCUUCCUGACAGCCUCAAGUGCCUCUCGAGUUAUUGGAGCUGGUCCUCCAACCCCUGUUCACACUGCUGCUCUUUACUGGGAAUUCAUCACAGGCUGUUUUAUCUGGGUGAGAGCUGAGCAUACACAUGGGGUUGAGUCCAUGCAGCGCAUCUACAAAUAGACAGACUGCCAGGCAAGGUCCCCGGCCUCGCUUAUCAGAGCAAACCGGCUGCAGACUGGACUUCUUGAUAGGCCAAGGUGAGCCUGGAGCAUCGCGCCCCAGGCAGCUGCACAUCCCAGCGUGCGACAGGUAAGACGUGCACCUGCUUGUCACAGGUCAGGGAAAGGUCCCAUUUGAGAUUGUUUGCAGGUCUGUGUUGAAAAGCCUCUUUGAUAUGAGUGGCUAGUGCAGGUAUGGCAAGAACGGUACUUGUGAUAACAUUUGAACAUCACAGCUGUGUUGCACAGUACAAUAGUGAUGCUGAAGAAAAGCCACUCAUGUUGGCAGCGUCUGUGCUGAGUGUAUCGGAAGCAACAGAGCGAAUGGCGAUCUUCACUGCGCCUGCCCAGGUGAAUACGUGUCCCUGCCCAGUUUUCACACUCUGCUGCAAUUGAAAGCCAGUGCAAGUUGCAGUCAUGUCUGUCAGAGGUGCAUAUUUCAUCCUGCUCAGCAGCAAAGCGUCCCGCAUGUCCAUCUACAUCUGUGCAAGUUGCAGGGAGAAAAGAGCAAUUAUGGAAGAUCAAGAGGAAGCUGGUGAGAACAGGAGUGGGGAACUGGUGUCUGCUGCUGGUUUCCAGUGUGCUCAGGGAAGGGGGAGAUGGGUAGAACAGGGUUACUCUACAUAAUAUACAUGAUUUACUGUUUUCCCUCCUAUCCACAAUGAUCCAAGACAAAAACCAGGCCAACAUCUCACUACGGGGGUGCAGGAGUGGUGCUGGUACCAGGGAGUUCACUGCGACCAUGAAUAACUAUAGAUUAAGGUAUUGUGACUAAGAUCCUUUGUGCAUGCAGGACGUCAUGAAUGUGGGUUAAGGAGGCCUAAAAUGCAGUGGAAAGUCACCACCCUCAGGUGCCAUUUUCUUAUUUUACUAUUACACAAAGAAAAAAAACGUUGCUCACCAGAAAAGGGCCCGAGCGUUACUGCGAUGGAGGAGGAUGGAGUUACUGCGAUGGAGGAGGACGGAGUUGGAGUUAGUUACUGCGAUGGA
This 4842-nucleotide long non-coding RNA is filed under the name Columba livia (rock pigeon). RNAcentral describes it as "partial uncharacterized LOC102094086, transcript variant X2". Lineage: Eukaryota; Metazoa; Chordata; Aves; Columbiformes; Columbidae. The record is from RNAcentral.